CGGAACGUGCCCAGUAGCGGGGGAUAACUACGCGAAAGCGUAGCUAAUACCGCAUACGCCCUUAGGGGGAAAGCAGGGGAUCGCAAGACCUUGCACUAUUGGAGCGGCCGAUAUCGGAUUAGCUAGUUGGUGAGGUAAUGGCUCACCAAGGCCGCGAUCCGUAGCUGGUUUGAGAGGACGACCAGCCACACUGGGACUGAGACACGGCCCAGACUCCUACGGGAGGCAGCAGUGGGGAAUUUUGGACAAUGGGGGAAACCCUGAUCCAGCCAUCCCGCGUGUACGAUGAAGGCCUUCGGGUUGUAAAGCACUUUUGGCAGGAAAGAAACGGCGCGUGCUAAUACCAUGCGCAACUGACGGUACCUGCAGAAUAAGCACCGGCUAACUACGUGCCAGCAGCCGCGGUAAUACGUAGGGUGCAAGCGUUAAUCGGAAUUACUGGGCGUAAAGCGUGCGCAGGCGGUUCGGAAAGAAAGAUGUGAAAUCCCAGGGCUCAACCUUGGAACUGCAUUUUUAACUACCGGACUAGAGUAUGUCAGAGGGAGGUGGAAUUCCACGU
RNAcentral lists this ribosomal RNA (559 nucleotides) under uncultured bacterium. Its description in RNAcentral is "bacterial SSU rRNA". It matches the Rfam family "Bacterial small subunit ribosomal RNA", at positions 119 to 674 of the family's 1533-position model. The record is from RNAcentral.